GGCUGGUCCGAAAGUAGUUAUCUCACUUGAUUGUUCACAGUCAGUUACAGGUUGAACUCCUUGUUCUACUACUUUCCCCCCUCCUCACUACUGCAGUAGGAUCGCUUGAG
RNAcentral lists this non-coding RNA (110 nucleotides) under Propithecus coquereli (Coquerel's sifaka). The record is from RNAcentral. Lineage: Eukaryota; Metazoa; Chordata; Mammalia; Primates; Indriidae.